GACGAACGCUGGCGGCGUGCUUAACACAUGCAAGUCGAACGGCAAGGCCCUGCUUUUGUGGGGUGCCCGAGUGGCGAACGGGUGCGUAACACGUGAGUAUCCUGCCCUUCACUUUGGGAUAACUUCAGGUAACUGGGGCUACUACCGGAUAGGAGCUCCUGCUGCAUGGUGGGGGUUGGAUCGUGUCGGCGGUUGGGGUUGGAUUCGCGGCUUAUCAGCUUGAUGGUGGGGUAGUGGCUUACCCAGGCGUGGACGGGUAGCCGGCCUGGGAGGGUGACCGGCCACAGUGGGACUGGGAUGCGGCCCAGGCUCCUACGGGGGGCAGGAGUGGGAACUAGUGCACAAUGGGCGGAAGGCGGAUGCAACAACGCCGGGUUGGAGAGGACGGCUGUCGGGUUGGAAACCGCGUUGGUUUGUAACGAGGCGUGAGGGAGGGAAAUGAGUAAAGAAGCACGGCCAAAUUAGGG
This 467-nucleotide ribosomal RNA is filed under the name uncultured bacterium. RNAcentral describes it as "partial 16S ribosomal RNA". It matches the Rfam family "Bacterial small subunit ribosomal RNA", at positions 28 to 506 of the family's 1533-position model. The record is from RNAcentral.